RNAcentral lists this long non-coding RNA (294 nucleotides) under Homo sapiens (human). RNAcentral describes it as "non-protein coding lnc-FOCAD-1:1". The record is from RNAcentral. Lineage: Eukaryota; Metazoa; Chordata; Mammalia; Primates; Hominidae.
GGAAAGCUCAGGUGAUUUCUGCCCUCCAUAAGAUGCACCAGCAGAUCUUCAGCCUCUUUUACACAAGGGCUUGUCUGAUGCUUGGAAUAGGGCCUUCCUGGACAAACUCCAGACUGGAUUUCAUCAGCAGCUGGAAGACCUGGAGACCUGCUUGGUAUAGAGGAUGGGAAGCAAGAGUCUGCCCUGGAAAUUGAGGGCCCUACACUGGCCAUAAAGAGGUACUUCCAGGGAGUACAUUUCUUCUUGAAAGAGAGGAAAUUCAGGAACUGUACCUGGGAGGUUGUCUGAGUGUAA